GAAUUCAACUCCUACGGGAGGCAGCAGUGGGGAAUAUUGGACAAUGGGCGCAAGCCUGAUCCGGCCAUGCCGCGUGUGUGAAGAAGGCCUUAUGGUUGUAAAGCACUUUAAGCGAGGAGGAGGCUACUUUAGUUAAUACCUAGAGAUAGUGGACGUUACUCGCAGAAUAAGCACCGGCUAACUCUGUGCCAGCAGCCGCGGUAAUACAGAGGGUGCAAGCGUUAAUCGGAUUUACUGGGCGUAAAGCGCGCGUAGGCGGCUAAUUAAGUCAAAUGUGAAAUCCCCGAGCUUAACUUGGGAAUUGCAUUCGAUACUGGUUAGCUAGAGUGUGGGAGAGGAUGGUAGAAUUCCAGGUGUAGCGGUGAAAUGCGUAGAGAUCUGGAGGAAUACCGAUGGCGAAGGCAGCCAUCUGGCCUAACACUGACGCUGAGGUGCGAAAGCAUGGGGAGCAAACAGGAUUAGAAACCCGUGUAGUCCAGGCGUU
RNAcentral lists this ribosomal RNA (484 nucleotides) under uncultured bacterium. RNAcentral describes it as "bacterial SSU rRNA". It matches the Rfam family "Bacterial small subunit ribosomal RNA", at positions 328 to 803 of the family's 1533-position model. The record is from RNAcentral.